UACAGCGGGAAGCCACCUGGUGACAGGGAGCGGAACCCGAAAGCCUGUCUCAGUUCGGAUUGGAGUCUGCAACCCGACUCCAUGAAGCUGGAUUCGCUAGUAAUCGCGCAUCAGCCACGGCGCGGUGAGUACGUUCCCGGGCCUUGUACACACCGCCCGUCACACCAUGGGAGCCGGUAAUACCCGAAGUCAGUAGUCCAACCUCGUGAGGACGCUGCCGAAGGUGGGAUUGAUAAUUAGGGUGAAGUCGUAACAAGGUACC
This 262-nucleotide ribosomal RNA is filed under the name uncultured bacterium. RNAcentral's name for it is "partial 16S ribosomal RNA". It matches the Rfam family "Bacterial small subunit ribosomal RNA", at positions 1238 to 1500 of the family's 1533-position model. The record is from RNAcentral.